RNAcentral lists this ribosomal RNA (217 nucleotides) under uncultured bacterium. Its description in RNAcentral is "partial 16S ribosomal RNA". It matches the Rfam family "Bacterial small subunit ribosomal RNA", at positions 28 to 245 of the family's 1533-position model. The record is from RNAcentral.
GACGAACGCUGGCGGCGUGCUUAACACAUGCAAGUCGAGCGGUAAGGCCCUUUCGGGGGUACACGAGCGGCGAACGGGUGAGUAACACGUGGGUGACCUGCCCUCAGCUCUGGGAUAAGCCUGGGAAACCGGGUCUAAUACUGGAUAUGACUCCAUGACGCAUGUUGGUGGGGUGGAAAGCCUUGUGCGGCUGAGGAUGGGCCCGCGGCCUAUCAGC